This 410-nucleotide ribosomal RNA is filed under the name uncultured bacterium. Its description in RNAcentral is "bacterial SSU rRNA". It matches the Rfam family "Bacterial small subunit ribosomal RNA", at positions 355 to 775 of the family's 1533-position model. The record is from RNAcentral.
UCGAGGAUCUUCGGCAAUGGGCGCAAGCCUGACCGAGCGACGCCGCGUGGAUGAUGAAGGCCUUCGGGUUGUAAAAUCCUGUCGAGGGGGAUCAAGGCGCAAGCUUGAGUGAUCCCUGGAGGAAGCACGGGCUAAGUUCGUGCCAGCAGCCGCGGUAAGACGAACCGUGCAAACGUUAUUCGGAAUCACUGGGCAUAAAGGGCGCGUAGGCGGCUUUCUAAGUCAGGGGUGAAAUCCGGCAGCUCAACUGUCGCAGUGCCUUUGAUACUGGAGAGCUCGAGGGAGGUAGGGGUCUGUGGAACUUCCGGUGGAGCGGUGAAAUGCGUUGAUAUCGGAAGGAACGCCGGUGGCGAAAGCGACGGACUGGAUCUCUUCUGACGCUGAGGCGCGAAAGCCAGGGGAGCAAACGG